This 372-nucleotide ribosomal RNA is filed under the name uncultured organism. RNAcentral describes it as "bacterial SSU rRNA". It matches the Rfam family "Bacterial small subunit ribosomal RNA", at positions 526 to 896 of the family's 1533-position model. The record is from RNAcentral.
CAGAGGUCCCAAGCGUUGUCGGAUUCACGUGGGCGUAAAGGGUGCGUAGGCGGUCGGGUAAGUCUGAUGUGAAAUCUCAGAGCUCAACUCUGAAACUGCAUUGGAUACUAUUCGGCUUGAGGUCUGGAGGGGGGACUGGAAUUCUCGGUGUAGCAGUGAAAUGCGUAGAUAUCGAGAGGAACACCAGUGGCGAAGGCGAGUCCCUGGACAGGUCCUGACGCUGAGGCACGAAAGCUAGGGGAGCAAACAGGAUUAGAUACCCUGGUAGUCCUAGCCGUAAACGGUGCGUAUUUGCUGUAAAAGGAAUCGACCCCUUUUGUGGCGUAGCAAACGCGUUAAAUACGCCGCCUGGGAAGUACGGUCGCAAGAUUA